CCCUUAGAUGUUCUGGGCCGCACGCGCGCUACACUGAUACAUGCAACGAGUUUAUAACCUUGAUCUGACGGUCUGGGUAAUCUUCAAACUGUAUCGUGUUAGGGAUCGAUUCUUGCAAUUUUUAAUCGUAAACGAGGAAUUCCUAGUAAACGCAAGUCAUCAGCUUGCAUUGAUUACGUCCCUGCCCUUUGUACACACCGCCCGUCGACUCUACCGAUUGAAUGGUUCGGUGAAAACUUUGGACUGUGGCAUUGUCCUUCAUUGGACUUCGCCGUAGGAAAUUGUUUAAACCUCACCAUUUAGAGGAAGAAUAAGUCGUAACA
This 323-nucleotide ribosomal RNA is filed under the name uncultured eukaryote. Its description in RNAcentral is "partial 18S ribosomal RNA". It matches the Rfam family "Eukaryotic small subunit ribosomal RNA", at positions 1470 to 1796 of the family's 1831-position model. The record is from RNAcentral.